RNAcentral lists this ribosomal RNA (963 nucleotides) under Physisporinus sp. RNAcentral describes it as "partial large subunit ribosomal RNA". It matches the Rfam family "Eukaryotic large subunit ribosomal RNA", at positions 34 to 981 of the family's 3401-position model. The record is from RNAcentral. Lineage: Eukaryota; Fungi; Basidiomycota; Agaricomycetes; Polyporales; Meripilaceae.
CUAGCAUAUCAAUAAGCGGAGGAAAAGAAACUAACAAGGAUUCCCAUAGUAACUGCGAGUGAAGCGGGAAAAGCUCAAAUUUAAAAUCUGGCAGUCUUUGGCUGUCCGAGUUGUAAUCUGGAGAAGUGCUUUCCGCGCUGGACCGUGUACAAGUCUCUUGGAAUAGAGCGUCAUAGAGGGUGAGAAUCCCGUCUUUGACACGGACUACCAGUGCUUUGUGAUGCGCUUUCAAAGAGUCGAGUUGUUUGGGAAUGCAGCUCAAAAUGGGUGGUAAAUUCCAUCUAAAGCUAAAUAUUGGCGAGAGACCGAUAGCGAACAAGUACCGUGAGGGAAAGAUGAAAAGCACUUUGGAAAGAGAGUUAAACAGUACGUGAAAUUGCUGAAAGGGAAACGCUUGAAGUCAGUCGCGUUGUUCAGAACUCAGCCUGGCUUUGGCUUGGUGCAUUUUCUGAAUAACGGGCCAGCAUCAAUUUUGACUGUUGGAUAAAGGCCAGGGAAAUGUGGCUCCCUUGGGAGUGUUAUAGUCCUUGGUUGCAUACAAUGGUUGGGAUUGAGGAACUCAGCAUGCCUUUAUGGUCGGGGUUCGCCCACGUUCAUGCUUAGGAUGCUGGCGUAAUGGCUUUAAACGACCCGUCUUGAAACACGGACCAAGGAGUCUAACAUGCCUGCGAGUGUUUGGGUGGAAAACCCGAGCGCGCAAUGAAAGUGAAAGUUGGGAUCUCUGUCGUGGAGAGCACCAAUGCCCGGACCAGACCUUCUGUGACGGUUCCGCGGUAGAGCAUGUAUGUUGGGACCCGAAAGAUGGUGAACUAUGCCUGAAUAGGGUGAAGCCAGAGGAAACUCUGGUGGAGGCUCGUAGCGAUUCUGACGUGCAAAUCGAUCGUCAAAUUUGGGUAUAGGGGCGAAAGACUAAUCGAACCAUCUAGUAGCUGGUUCCUGCCGAGUCCUCCCUUCCCAGAAUAA